AGCGAACGCUGGCGGCAGGCCUAACACAUGCAAGUCGAACGAACCUUUCGGGGUUAGUGGCGGACGGGAGAGUAACACGUGAGAACGUGCCUUUAGGUUCGGAAUAACUCAGGGAAACUUGUGCUAAUACCGAAUGUGCCCUUCGGGGGAAAGAUUUAUCGCCUUUAGAGCGGCCCGCGGCUGAUUAGCUAGUUGGUUGAGGUAAUGGCUCACCAAGGCGACGAUCAGUAGCUGGUCUGAGAGGAUGAUCAGCCACAUUGGGACUGAGACACGGCCCAAACUCCUACGGGAGGCAGCAGUGGGGAAUCUUGCGCAAUGGGCGAAAGCCUGACGCAGCCAUGCCGCGUGAAUGAUGAAGGUCUUAGGAUUGUAAAAUUCUUUCACCGGGGACGAUAAUGACGGUACCCGGAGAAGAAGCCCCGGCUAACUUCGU
RNAcentral lists this ribosomal RNA (433 nucleotides) under uncultured bacterium. Its description in RNAcentral is "partial 16S ribosomal RNA". It matches the Rfam family "Bacterial small subunit ribosomal RNA", at positions 29 to 506 of the family's 1533-position model. The record is from RNAcentral.